Molecule: ribosomal RNA, 468 nt
Filed under: uncultured bacterium
Lineage: Bacteria
Description: partial 16S ribosomal RNA
Rfam family: Bacterial small subunit ribosomal RNA
Source: RNAcentral
GACGAACGCUGGCGGCGUGCUUAACACAUGCAAGUCGAACGGAAAGGCCCUGCGUUUGUGGUGUGCUCGAGUGGCGAACGGGUGCGUAACACGUGAGUAACCUGCCCUUCACUUUGGGAUAACUUCAGGAAACUGGGGCUAAUACCGGAUAGGAGCUCCUGCUGCAUGGUGGGGGUUGGAAAGUUUCGGCGGGUGGGGAUGGAGUCGCGGCUGAUCAGCUUGUUGGUGGGGGAGUGGCUUACCAAGGCUGUGACGGAUAGCCGGCAUGAGAGGGGGAACGGCCACAUUGGGACUGAGAUACGGCCCAGACUCCUACAGGAGGCAGCGGGGGGGAGUAUUGUACAGUGGGCGCAAGCGUGAUGCGGCAGCGCCGCGUGCGGGAUGCCGGCCUGCGGGUUGUAAACCGCUUUCGCCUGUGACGAAGCUGGAGUGACGGUACUGAAUAAAGAAGCACCGGCUAACUACGUG